UUUGCAAGUCGAACGAAUCUCUUUUAGAGAUGAGUGGCGAACGGGUGAGUAAUACAUAGGUAACCUGCCCCUGUGCGGGGGAUAACAGGAGGAAACUCCUGCUAAUACCGCAUAGCCAUGAGCACCGCAUGGAGCUCAUGCCAAAUAUCCUUUCGGGGAUAGCGCAGGGAUGGACCUAUGGCGCAUUAGCUGGUUGGCGGGGCAACGGCCCACCAAGGCAACGAUGCGUAGCCGGCCUGAGAGGGCGGACGGCCACAUUGGGACUGAGACACGGCCCAGACUCCUACGGGAGGCAGCAGUAGGGAAUUUUCGGCAAUGGGGGAAACCCUGACCGAGCAACGCCGCGUGAGCGAAGAAGGCCUUCGGGUCGUAAAGCUCUGUUGUAAAGGAAGAACGGUGCAUACAGGAAAUGGUAUGCGAGUGACGGUACUUUACCAGAAAGCCACGGCUAACUACGUGCCAGCAGCCGCGGUAAUACGUAGGUGGCGAGCGUUAUCCGGAAUCAUUGGGCGUAAAGAGGGAGCAGGCGGCCGCAAGGGUCUGUGGUGAAAGACCGAAGCUAAACUUCGGUAAGCCAUGGAAACCGGGCGGCUAGAGUGCGGAAGAGGAUCGUGGAAUUCCAUGUGUAGCGGUGAAAUGCGUAGAUAUAUGGAGGAACACCAGUGGCGAAGGCGACGGUCUGGGCCGCAACUGACGCUCAUUCCCC
This 706-nucleotide ribosomal RNA is filed under the name uncultured Bacillota bacterium. RNAcentral describes it as "bacterial SSU rRNA". It matches the Rfam family "Bacterial small subunit ribosomal RNA", at positions 54 to 755 of the family's 1533-position model. Lineage: Bacteria; Bacillati; Bacillota. The record is from RNAcentral.